GACGAACGCUGGCGGCGUGCUUAACACAUGCAAGUCGAGCGGUAAGGCCCUUCGGGGUACACGAGCGGCGAACGGGUGAGUAACACGUGGGUAACCUGCCCUGUACUCUGGGAUAAGCCUUGGAAACGAGGUCUAAUACCGGAUACGACCUGGAAUCGCAUGAUUCUGGGUGGAAAGUUCCGGCGGUAUGGGAUGGACCCGCGGCCUAUCAGCUUGUUGGUGGGGUAAUGGCCUACCAAGGCGACGACGGGUAGCCGGCCUGAGAGGGUGACCGGCCACACUGGGACUGAGACACGGCCCAGACUCCUACGGGAGGCAGCAGUGGGGAAUAUUGCACAAUGGGCGAAAGCCUGAUGCAGCGACGCCGCGUGAGGGAUGACGGCCUUCGGGUUGUAAACCUCUUUCAGCAGGGACGAAGCGCAAGUGACGGUACCUGCAGAAGAAGCACCGGCUAACUACGUG
This 462-nucleotide ribosomal RNA is filed under the name uncultured Lentzea sp. RNAcentral's name for it is "bacterial SSU rRNA". It matches the Rfam family "Bacterial small subunit ribosomal RNA", at positions 28 to 507 of the family's 1533-position model. The record is from RNAcentral. Lineage: Bacteria; Bacillati; Actinomycetota; Actinomycetes; Pseudonocardiales; Pseudonocardiaceae.